Acanthopagrus latus (yellowfin seabream) is the source of this 690-nucleotide long non-coding RNA. RefSeq lists it as uncharacterized. The transcript has 2 exons. The record is from RefSeq and is a predicted model, not a curated record. NCBI's taxonomy places the organism in Eukaryota, Metazoa, Chordata, Actinopteri, Spariformes, Sparidae.
UACAGACGUGAUUAUUGUUUCCAGCAGUGAAUUUAAGACGGGCCGCAGGUCGGUCAGAGCUGCAGGUCACACUGCCGCUUCGCUCGGCUGUGGAAAAGUUAAAAGCCGUAAUUACGUCGGUAAUUGAAGUGGAGCGUGGCAGGUAGCCAUGGCGAUGAAAGCCUCCAGUUGGCUCUUUUUAAGCAGGAGAUUUCUUUAUUUCUUUAUGUCUUUGUGGCUCAGACAGAGAGGACGUGUUGUGAGAGGGGAAGUCAUCAGGUUCCAACGAAGUUUUCGGCACAAUCUCUUCAAACUCCUCGUUGUGACAGCGACACUGUUCAUGAGCUGAAAGAGAAACAUCGACUUUGUUACUGAAGCAAAGUUUCACCAGCUCGUCUACACGAGGCCGUCUGCUGUCUGUCGACUUUAAUCUUGAAACAUCAACUUUAUUCUCGACAUUUAGAUUUUCCUCUGAUGAAAAUAACUCCUCUGUAAAAACUAACCAAUGAUUUAUGGACGUUUAAAUCCAGUGCUGAAGGUUCUUUGCUCCUGGUGAAUCUGGUGGAUGUUUUGUAAAAUAAUUAUCGCUGUGAUUUAGAUCGAGGACACUUUGUGAGUGUGGACGUCGAUCUUUACUGUCCUGUCGUCUCCUCUCGGUGUGUUCACAUCUCAGAACUGUAUGUGUGUAAUAAAAUAACAUGAACACGUCAC